UGCGCAGGUGGGAAUGUAAGUCAGUGGUGAAAUACUGCCGCUUAACGGUAGAAUUGCCAUUGAUACUGCAUUUCUUGAGUAUGGUUGAGGUAGGCGGAAUGUGUCGUGUAGCGGUGAAAUGCAUAGAUAUGACACAGAACGCCGAUUGCGAAGGCAGCUUACUAAGCCAUUACUGACACUGAGGCACGAAAGCGUGGGGAGCGAACAGGAUUAGAUACCCUGGUAGUC
RNAcentral lists this ribosomal RNA (228 nucleotides) under uncultured bacterium. Its description in RNAcentral is "partial 16S ribosomal RNA". It matches the Rfam family "Bacterial small subunit ribosomal RNA", at positions 568 to 795 of the family's 1533-position model. The record is from RNAcentral.